AAUCAACGCUGGCGGCGUGCCUAACACAUGCAAGUCGAACGCGAAAGCCCCUUCGGGGGCAAGUAGAGUGGCGUCCGGGUGAGUAACACGUGGGUAAUCUACCUCCGGGUGGGGAAUAACUCGCCGAAAGGCGGGCUAAUACCGCAUAAUGCAGCGGCACCGAAUGGUGAUUAGUUGUUAAAGCGGGGGACCUUAGGGCCUCGCGUCUGGAGAGGAGCCUGCGGCAGAUUAGCUUGUUGGAGGGUAAUGGCCUACCAAGGCUGCGAUCUGUAGCUGGUCUGAGAGGACGGCCAGCCACACUGGCACUGACACACGGGCCAGACUCCUACGGGAGGCAGCAGUGGGGAAUUUUGGGCAAUGGGCGAAAGCCUGACCCAGCAACGCCGCGUGAAGGAGGAAAUCCUUCGGGAUGUAAACUUCACAAGCAAGGGAAGAGCGCGCAGGGUCGAAUAAACUCUGCGUCCGACGGUACCUUGCGUAAGCCAC
This 486-nucleotide ribosomal RNA is filed under the name uncultured bacterium. RNAcentral describes it as "bacterial SSU rRNA". It matches the Rfam family "Bacterial small subunit ribosomal RNA", at positions 32 to 494 of the family's 1533-position model. The record is from RNAcentral.